This 301-nucleotide ribosomal RNA is filed under the name uncultured bacterium. Its description in RNAcentral is "partial 16S ribosomal RNA". It matches the Rfam family "Bacterial small subunit ribosomal RNA", at positions 509 to 809 of the family's 1533-position model. The record is from RNAcentral.
CAGUCGCCGCGGGAAUACGUAGGUGGCAAGCGUUGUCCGGAAUUAUUGGGCGUAAAGGGCUCGCAGGCGGUUUCUUAAGUCUGAUGUGAAAGCCCCCGGCUCAACCGGGGAGGGUCAUUGGAAACUGGGAAACUUGAGUGCAGAAGAGGAGAGUGGAAUUCCACGUGUAGCGGUGAAAUGCGUAGAGAUGUGGAGGAACACCAGUGGCGAAGGCGACUCUCUGGUCUGUAACUGACGCUGAGGAGCGAAAGCGUGGGGAGCGAACAGGAUUAGAUACCCCAGUAGUCCCUGUCUCUUAUCC